Long non-coding RNA from Vicia villosa (hairy vetch), 671 nucleotides. RefSeq lists it as uncharacterized. The record is from RefSeq and is a predicted model, not a curated record. NCBI's taxonomy places the organism in Eukaryota, Viridiplantae, Streptophyta, Magnoliopsida, Fabales, Fabaceae. The transcript has 4 exons.
UCACAGCAUGGGCCUUUACAUCGGUCCAUCUAAAAACCGAUGGGAAAUGUCUCCCAUCAUUUUUCACUAAAACCCUAGCCUCCUUUCCAACACAAACAAUAUUUCGUUGUUUUUUCUUUCCAAGAUACAGUCGCUGCCAAAACUUCCUCCGACGAAGCGACCUCCUCCGAGACCCUACCUCCUCCGACGAAGCGAUCUCUUCCGAAGACCCUACCACCAACGACGACCACCAUCCUACCGUCACGACCCAACCUCCGACGAUGACCACCAUCCUGCCGUCACGACCAUACCUCCGACAACAACCACCCUUCUGCCGUCACCACCCUUCGACCUUCUCAGGCAACUUUUAUCUCCGCGUUUAUGAAUCUCAAGUCAGGAUUAUCCAUAAAUGCUCGUGUGUCUUUGAGGUAUUUGAUGAUCCUACAUAAUUAACACAGGAUGAUUUGUAUGAUUUGUGAUUCCGUUUGGAAAAAUGUUUCUUUGAGUUGUAUAAAGAUUAACCUUUAUCUGGUAAAGUAAUUUUGGUGUUGUCUUCAGAAACCACAACUCAUCUUCAUGUUGGUAUUUCAAGUGCGCGAAAGGACUUAAAUAGUUGGAUAUUUUGUUGUUUUGUUAUUUUGUAGUAGUCUACCAUGUGUAAACUUUCUUAUACUGUAGUACACUUGUGUAUC